ACUCCUACGGGAGGCAGCAGUGGGGAAUAUUGCACAAUGGGCGCAAGCCUGAUGCAGCCAUGCCGCGUGUAUGAAGAAGGCCUUCGGGUUGUAAAGUACUUUCAGCAGUGAGGAAGGCGGAGUCGUUAAUAGCGGCCUCGUUUGACGUUAGCUGCAGAAGAAGCACCGGCUAACUCCGUGCCAGCAGCCGCGGUAAUACGGAGGGUGCGAGCGUUAAUCGGAAUUACUGGGCGUAAAGCGCAUGCAGGUGGUUUGUUAAGUCAGAUGUGAAAGCCCGGGGCUCAACCUCGGAAUUGCAUUUGAAACUGGCAGACUAGAGUACUGUAGAGGGGGGUAGAAUUUCAGGUGUAGCGGUGAAAUGCGUAGAGAUCUGAAGGAA
This 379-nucleotide ribosomal RNA is filed under the name uncultured bacterium. Its description in RNAcentral is "bacterial SSU rRNA". It matches the Rfam family "Bacterial small subunit ribosomal RNA", at positions 335 to 706 of the family's 1533-position model. The record is from RNAcentral.